This 1190-nucleotide unclassified non-coding RNA is filed under the name Hevea brasiliensis (rubber tree). The record is from RNAcentral. Lineage: Eukaryota; Viridiplantae; Streptophyta; Magnoliopsida; Malpighiales; Euphorbiaceae.
GUAAAAGUCAUCUGGACAUGUACGUUAAAGCACAGAGGGAGAUGAACAUUGAGCAAUUGUUGCCGGUGCCAUUGGGACUGACAGGACCCUCUUCGAUUUCUCAUCUAUCAAGGUUGAAUGCUUGGACCCUUCUUUUGCUUUUUAACCCAAGAGACCGCCGCCUGCUUCUAUGUUCUUGGCUUCUUUAAACACCCACUUCCCCUUCUGGGCUUUUCCAUUACAUUCUACUUUCAUUUGAUUUUCAUUUUUCGGCAGACAAGAAAAAUAAACAAGUCUUUUAAAUCUCUGUAAGUGAUAAUUGUAAGCAAAUUACAGCAAGAAGAAGAGAACUCGAAUAACAUUACCAUGUCUGCUCCAUCUCCCACUAUUCGUCCUUUUACACCAUACAAGAUGGGGAAGUUCGAUCUUUCUUAUAGGUUUGGAUAGAGUUGAGAUCCAUGGGUCUCAUGGUUACCUAAUUGAUCAGUUUAUGAAAGAUAAGGUGAACGGUCAAUACUGAUCAAUAUGGUGAUCUCUAGCUUUGGAGGUAGUUGAAGCUGUAGGCGAAGAGAUGGGUGUAGAUAAAGAUGGCGUCAGAUUAUCUUCAUUUGCAAACUUUAUGGAAUCUGGAGACUCAAAUCCUGAAGCUUUAGGAGUUCACAUGGCUGAAUCCUUGAAUAAAUAUGGAAUUCUUUACUGCGACAUGGUUGAGCCAAGAAUGAAAACAGUUGGAGAAAAAUCUGAAUGUCCAGACAGUCUUCUGCCCAUGAGAAAGGCUUUCAAAGGGACUUUUCUUGCUGCUGGAGGUUAUGACAGGGAAGAUGGAAAUAAAGCCAUAGCAGAAAACCGAGCAGAUCUCGUUGUUUAUGGCCGUCUUUUCUUAGCCAAUCCUGAUUUACCUAGGAGAUUUGAGCUUAAUGCUCCUCUCAACAAGUACAAUAGAGAUACAUUCUAUAUUUCUGAUCCUGUAAUUGGCUAUACUGAUUAUCCAUUUCUGGAGGCCGCUAAUUAAUUUUCUGGUAAGAGAAUUGCUGUUUAUACUGUACGAUACUUGCCUUUCUAUCAAGAAAUUGUUCUUUCUGAUAGAUGAUGGAAGGAUGUAUCUCAGGAACAAAUAAAUUCCUCGUUUUUUUUUGUAGAAAUAACUUGUGUUUUGGCAUACACAUUUGCCCAUAUAUUUAUCUCAUUGAGCGGUUUAAAUUGGUAACAAA